RNAcentral lists this transfer RNA (74 nucleotides) under Candidatus Aenigmatarchaeota archaeon. Its description in RNAcentral is "tRNA-Ala". It matches the Rfam family "tRNA". Rfam says of the family: Transfer RNA (tRNA) molecules are approximately 80 nucleotides in length. Lineage: Archaea; Nanobdellati; Candidatus Aenigmatarchaeota. The record is from RNAcentral.
GGGCUCGUGGUCUAAACUGGAAUGAUGCUUCCAUGGCAUGGAAGAGGCUCCGGGUUCAAAUCCCGGCGAGUCCA